RNAcentral lists this long non-coding RNA (4147 nucleotides) under Brachypodium distachyon (stiff brome). RNAcentral's name for it is "long non-coding RNA (BDIS_LNC002053)". Lineage: Eukaryota; Viridiplantae; Streptophyta; Magnoliopsida; Poales; Poaceae. The record is from RNAcentral.
AGGCGGUCCUCCCACACUCUUCUUCCUCGCCGCACGCCGCCUCUCCGCUCGUACGCCGCACGCCGCGACGGAUAGCUCGCCCUCGCUACCUCCCUCCGCCGUCGAAGGUUGGGUUUUUCUCGUUGCACCCAGCCCACCGGCUCGCUGACCGCCUCCGCUGUGCGCCCAGUCGUCGCGCGGGCUGGCCGCCUCUGCCCUGCGCCUUGUCAUAGCGCUCGCUCGCGGCCUCCGCCGUACUCCCUGCCGUCACGCUCGCCGGCCCCCUCUAUCUCUGAGGCGCGGCCUCCUCCAGCCGCUGAAACCUCCCACAGGACUGAAGAAGUGACUACUUUCUGAAAGAAUUAUGGAGCCAACAGCUAUCUUAGAGCCAUCCUCAACUCUUUGGCACCUAUUUUGCAGAUGGUAUUGCCUGUUGUCCGAAACCCUCUGGACAUUGCCAGUCAGUACACAAAUUUAUUUCCUAUUGUUUGACUCAAAAAUUGAAACAAUAACUCACAGUCACCACUACAUCAAUGUUGACAUCAGAAGCUUCAUCUACUCAAGAUUUCUAGCUAUCAAAACGUAGUUGCAAGAAUAAUAGCAACCAUUACAACCAUUGUCACUUCAUAACUAUUCAGCCAUUCUACUUAACCCCUUCUACAGUUCUGAAUUUUAGAAGUGCGAAGCCGAAGCAAACAAGUUCUUCCUGUCAGGAGAACAGAUCAAGUUUAUAGCUAGCAGAAACACAAGAGCUGCUGAGUUUUUCUGAACCUAUAUCUCUAUGCAAAAUUUCUGAAUUCUCAUGAUGUCAGUGAGUGCCUCUGCUCUGCCAUCAUCCCCUUGCAGUACUUGACAGUGUUCUAUACUCCUAACUGGAUUUUUUUUUCCUGCAGGAUGUUGAGCAUAGCUACAUUAUGAUCAAACCUGAUGGUGUUCAACGUGGUCUGGUAUGCAUCUCUUGACUUUUGUCAUUGUUUUGGUUUAAUUUCUGUUAUCUGUUUCAGUUCAGAUCAAACAGGUAGCAUGUGAAUUAUAAAAUAAACUGAAAUUGUGAACUGAAUAUUACAUGUACACGUAUAUUCAUCACAAAUUCUUGAAUUAACUGAAAUUCUCAGAAAAUUCAGUUAACUGAACAAUAGAAAAUUCAUUUUUCAUAAUUUUAACUAUCCAUGUUGCAUUAUGCAGAAAUCUUGACCCUGAUGAGGACAUCUCAAGUAAUGAUACAACCACAGCUCCUACAGCACCUACACCUCAAGUACCGGAGAUACAUGGACCAAUUACUAGAGGUCGUGCACGACAACUAAAUUAUCAGGUACUUUCGUUCCUCGGUACUUCAUUUAAUAUUAAUGAGAAUAUGCUGCUGCCUAAGAUGGGUUCUUUUAUGUGUUUUAGGAAUGAAGGACCUAGCUUGGACCUCAAGGAUCAGCGUUGGACAGCAAACCAUGGAGGUGGCAGCAAGGUGGCGGGAGUUAGCUCAAGUGUUGAUUUCAGAACAUUGAAACCGCCAUAAAGAGAUGAGAAGAAGGCCGCAUCCUCUUCAUCAAUUGGAUUUCGGCCAAGUGGAGGAUUCCCCUUCCAAUAGGUAUAUAUGGGCCAAAGAUGAGGGUUAUAACCUUGUUUUAUUGGGCCUAAGGCCAUGUAAUAGGGUCCAGCCAAGUUUUAGAUGUUUUCGUUGUGUUUUAGGAGGAUUCCUAGGCCGUUUCGGAGUCCCACAAGGGCCUGGCCGAAAACCACCUAGUUCCCCUCCUAUUUAUACCCCAUGAGCCCCACUAUGGAGCAUUGGGUUUUGAUUAGAUAAAGUUUAGCCUUUGCUACUUUCGUGUAAUCGCGUGUGUCGGUUAGACCACCUGUUUUACCGUCAUCAAGACUCCAACUAUAUUGAGUAUUCAGAUUCGUGAAUCUUCAUAUCUCCUAUUCGCAAUUUCAGAUUGCUUUUCAUUUUGUUCUUGCUUGUUCUUCGAUUGCUUGCAGGAACAAAGACCUUCGUGGUCAGGUUGAUCGUGCCCCCGCGGGAUCAAUAACCUUCUGGAGUUGGUGUAUCGAUCGCUAAGGCGCUGCCUCCUAGGUUGUAGUCGGAUCGUCAACGUCACCUCCUACCAAAUCGAUAAUUAGGUAUCUCAUCGAAAGAUCGGGACACCCUCGAGGCUAUCACGUGGUAUCAGAGCUUAAGGUUGCUCGGUGAGAUUUUUCCAGUUUAUCCGUAGUUUAGAUCUGUUUUUUGCAGAAUCUAAUUAACCGAAUUAUGCAGAAAUCUUGACCCUGAAAUAUUUUCUUCAAAAGUUUCAAAACUUGAAGUUUCUAAGCCAAAGCAGAAUUCACAGUGGGUUUCUAAGCCAUGUUACAAUUAUCAAAAGUCAGGGCACUAGUGCAUCUACAAUUUUGAGUUUCUAAGCCAAAGCCCAGAAGCCAUCUUGUUCCUGAAAAUAUUUUCAGAAAUCAUCCCAUAAUCAUCACAGAAAUCAUCCCAAGUACAACUAGUUACCGAAACAACUGAUGUAGUUACUGAAACUACAACUACAGCUAACAUUCAUCACACAACUACCACAGGCACAAUUCUCUGAACAUCAUCACACAAUUGCAGAGAUUGUUGUUAUCCAAUUCUGUAGAGGAACAUCAUCAUCACACAAAUAUCUGAACAUCAACUGAAUUCUUGAGUUAACUGUUACAAUAUGUAUAUCAUGAAGCUGUUCAACCAGUACUGAAAUUAGGGACAAAUUCAGUUAACAGGCACAACUAUUAACUGAACUAGAACUGAACUAGGGACAAAUUCAGUUAACAGGUAGAACUGUUAACUGUUUUUAUUCAGACAGAGAAGUUUACUGUUAACAGUUAAAAGUAAAUUCAGUUAACUCUAUUAUAGUUCUCUGAAGUGUUAACUCUAUUCCAGUGCACAAUGUUAACUAGGGACACAGACUCAAUCUCUGUAUUCUGAAACAAAUACAGCCUCUUUAUUCCACAAUGCUAACUCGGCAACCUCAAUCUUUGUAUUCUGAAAUAAAUUCAGUUAACUCACAACAUAACCAGUUAACUCUACAGCCAUGUACCAACAUUUCAUCUGUCAUCAAAAUUCAGAGCUGUCAAGAACCAAUUCCCAUUGUUCACACAAACAGGACAGACACAACACAACUCCUAGAAAAGCUAAAUUGCUGCAUUUUGAAUCUCUCUAUUCAGAUACUCCAUAUUUCUGAACUUGUUUUUAUAGAAAAGACCAGUACUGUUCAAUCAGAGAAGAAUCCAGUUCUAGUUCUGAACUUGUUUCUAUAGAUCUUGGACAAAUACUCUUGUGUAUUGUUCAAUCACAGAAGAAUCCAGUUCCAGUUCUAUUGCUCCAUUGAACGUUGCUGCUGAGUAUGAACUGCAGGUGCUCUGAAGAUUAUGAACUAAACAAGUGUAUUGUUUGUUGCUGCAGAGUAUGAAAUGAGGAUCAAGAUCAGAAUAAGGCGACGUCCUCCUCUUCGGCAGCAGAGGAAGACAAGCGCCACCUCGUCCUCGUCCUCAGAAGAAGGCGAUGACCUCCUCUUCGGCAACCUCCUUCCUCGGCGGCAGAUGGCGAGGGAGCUGCGGAGGCGGGGGAGACUCACGCGGGAGCGGCGCGGCCGUAUGAGGGAGCACCGCUAGCAAGCCGGUCGGCCGGCCGCCCGAUUGCUCCUCCGCGAUUGCAAUCUGCCAGGUCCGGCGUUCGCGAUGCAGGCGCCCGCGAGAUGGAUUGCCUCUGCGAGAUUGGAUCGGCUCCAUGAGAUUUGAUGCGUCCGCGAGAUUGGAUGAGGCCGGCGGGAGCUCUACUUGCCGGACUGCGGAAGUUGGCGGCGACGAGAAGGUAGCGGGACUGCGGGACGGCGAUGGGGAAGAUUCCAGUUUUGAUUUUUCAAUUUGAAUCCCAAAGUUCAAACGAUCCGCAUGUUUGAGGGGUUUUUAGCAAAAUUUAAAUUGAACUAGAAGGGAGGAAGGAUGCGACAUCCUUUUAUGGACAGAGGAUACUUGUUAUCUCAGGAAGAAAUAACUCAUGGGCCUGUUUGAUCGCAUCCAAUAUGGGCCUAUUUGAUUGCAUCAUGGCCUUUUUUUUCUUUUCCCUGUGUACGAAAUUGAAUUCAACGGGCUGUUGGACAAACCUAGCCAGUAACAUGAACAAAUAUGGGUUGCGGGCUGUGCCGGCUAGGGCACCGGCUGC